RNAcentral lists this ribosomal RNA (40 nucleotides) under Panellus stipticus. RNAcentral's name for it is "partial 18S ribosomal RNA". The record is from RNAcentral. Lineage: Eukaryota; Fungi; Basidiomycota; Agaricomycetes; Agaricales; Mycenaceae.
UCCGUAGGUGAACCUGCGGAAGGAUCAAUAAUGAAUACGC